Molecule: long non-coding RNA, 987 nt
Organism: Dipodomys ordii (Ord's kangaroo rat)
Lineage: Eukaryota; Metazoa; Chordata; Mammalia; Rodentia; Heteromyidae
Exons: 3
Source: RefSeq, a predicted model, not a curated record
GUGAACGGGGAGGGCAGUGAUCGCGAUGUGAAAACUUGGCGCCCUUGCUCAGCGACCUCAGAAAGAGCCUCAGUUUCCUGGUCUGUAUAGCCGCGAAGAGCAGCGUGAGCUUUGAAGACUUAUUCAGCAUUUGGUUUUCCAGUCUUAGCUUCAGUACUUACCAGCUGCCCAUUGGAUGUGCAAAGUUUUCAACUCGAGUUCAGGAAGCAGAAGAUUCAACACAGCACAGAGAUUGGAAGGAAUUCUCAGGAUAACAAUGAAGAGAAACAGAAGGUCCACAUCUGUGCAGCAGACAUGAAGAGCCAUUAGUUUAGCUUGGAGCUGGAGGACAAGAAAGAUGCCUCCCAGAAGGCAAACACAGAAUAACAUAAGCAAUGAUACAUCUGACAUCAGGGAAAAUUGUAUCUACUACUUCUAUAAGAUAUGCAAAGAUUUAGCAGUGGAUAAAAAGGAAGCUGGGCAGUAAAAAGCAAGGCAUUAUUCUAGAAAAGAAAAGGAGUUGUAAGUACAGUACAUGAGUAACUUAGUAGCGAACAAUAUUUAUUUAGUAGUAAUAAUGCAGAUAUUAUCAUGACCCAAAAAAUUGGUGAUUUGGGUAGUAAUAAGGAGUUGGAGAUUUUAGAUGUAAUUACUCACCUAUCAUGAUAGGAAGUUAAUCAUUAAGGGUUAUAGCUCAGUGGUAGAACACUUGACUAGCCUGUUAAAAGCCCUGGGUUUAAUCCUCAGUUAAUCAUUACUGUUUCAAGAGAGAGGAGUGAAAGCAUGGGAAUCUAUUCCAUAAAAAAGAAAUGUGAAUUGAAUGUAGCUACAUUUAGGGAAAGAUUCAGGGCUCCUAAGCGUGGGACAAGACACCAUUGUGAGGUUUUGGUUGCUAAUCAACUUACUAUUUACAUCUUCCAGUGUAAUUAAAAUAAUAAUCAGGGGCUUCAUGGUAGAGAACUUGAUUAGCAUGCUCAAAGCCCUUGACUAGAUGCCCAGACUGCAAAA